AAAAUUUCCUUUCAAGUUUUGGGGACUCCAACCUAUGAAGGAACCUAGAGGCAUAUAAGACUGAAAUAAUGGGGAAAAUAGUUCUCCAAGCAUUUUUUGAACCAGUCUAUUGUUAUUUUAUCUGAGUUCAUGACGGGAUAGGGAGGAAGAGAGGAUCACAGACGCAGCCUCUCAUUUGCCAUUCUCAUCUAAGGAGACGUGUUCUUUUCUACUGGAUAAAAUGGACAGGAUGCUGAAGCCACUGCAUCCAGUUCUACUGGCUGACUUUGAAGGUCUAUACUAGUCCUGGCUAUGUGGGUAGCUCAGAUGGGAACCCCUGAAGCAUGCUACCACAUGUGAUGGAAGAAAUCCAAGUUAAACACUUUCACCAGAGCAUGCUCCAAGAUAGAUGACUAGGCCUCAGGCUUGGCCAAUACAAUACAUUUCCAUUCUCUAUUUAUUUUUGUAGUUCAAAG
RNAcentral lists this long non-coding RNA (455 nucleotides) under Chrysemys picta bellii (western painted turtle). Its description in RNAcentral is "lncRNA (ENSCPBG00000025521.1)". Lineage: Eukaryota; Metazoa; Chordata; Testudines; Emydidae. The record is from RNAcentral.